GACAGAGGCCUCAAGCGUUAAGCGGAAUCACUGGGCUUAAAGCGUGUGUAGGCGGAUCGUUAAGUGUCUUGUGAAAUCCCACGGCUCACCCGUGGAACGGCUGGGCAUACUGGCGAUCUUGGGCCAACUAGGGGCAACUGGAACAAGCGGUGGAGCGGUGAAAUGCGUAGAUAUCGCUUGGAACGCCGAAGGUGAAAACAGGUUGCUGGGGUUGUGCCGACGCUGAGACACGAAAGCCAGGGGAGCAAACGGG
This 253-nucleotide ribosomal RNA is filed under the name uncultured bacterium. Its description in RNAcentral is "partial 16S ribosomal RNA". It matches the Rfam family "Bacterial small subunit ribosomal RNA", at positions 524 to 776 of the family's 1533-position model. The record is from RNAcentral.